AACGGGUUAUUACGGACCGACUCA
RNAcentral lists this non-coding RNA (24 nucleotides) under Arabidopsis thaliana (thale cress). Lineage: Eukaryota; Viridiplantae; Streptophyta; Magnoliopsida; Brassicales; Brassicaceae. The record is from RNAcentral.